AGACAACUAGGAUGUUGGCUUAGAAGCAGCCAUCAUUUAAAGAGUGCGUAAUAGCUCACUAGUCGAGUGACACUGCGCCGAAAAUGUACCGGGGCUAAACAUAUUACCGAAGCUGUGGAUUGUCCUUUGGACAAUGGUAGGAGAGCGUUCUAAGGGCGUUGAAGCAUGAUCGUAAGGACAUGUGGAGCGCUUAGAAGUGAGAAUGCCGGUGUGAGUAGCGAAAGACGGGUGAGAAUCCCGUCCACCGAUUGACUAAGGUUUCCAGAGGAAGGCUCGUCCGCUCUGGGUUAGUCGGGUCCUAAGCUGAGGCCGACAGGCGUAGGCGAUGGAUAACAGGUUGAUAUUCCUGUACCACCUAUAAUCGUUUUAAUCGAUGGGGGGACGCAGUAGGAUAGGCGAAGCGUGCGAUUGGAUUGCACGUCUAAGCAGUAAGGCUGAGUAUUAGGCAAAUCCGGUACUCGUUAAGGCUGAGCUGUGAUGGGGAGAAGACAUUGUGUCUUCGAGUCGUUGAUUUCACACUGCCGAGAAAAGCCUCUAGAUAGAAAAUAGGUGCCCGUACCGCAAACCGACACAGGUAGUCAAGAUGAGAAUUCUAAGGUGAGCGAGCGAACUCUCGUUAAGGAACUCGGCAAAAUGACCCCGUAACUUCGGGAGAAGGGGUGCUCUUUAGGGUUAACGCCCAGAAGAGCCGCAGUGAAUAGGCCCAAGCGACUGUUUAUCAAAAACACAGGUCUCUGCUAAACCGUAAGGUGAUGUAUAGGGGCUGACGCCUGCCCGGUGCUGGAAGGUUAAGAGGAGUG
This 800-nucleotide ribosomal RNA is filed under the name Escherichia coli. RNAcentral describes it as "partial 23S ribosomal RNA". It matches the Rfam family "Bacterial large subunit ribosomal RNA", at positions 1087 to 1888 of the family's 2925-position model. Lineage: Bacteria; Pseudomonadati; Pseudomonadota; Gammaproteobacteria; Enterobacterales; Enterobacteriaceae. The record is from RNAcentral.